GGCUUGCUCUGCUCUUUACCUGGGGUUGCUGUCGAGGACCCUGUGCAAGACUCGGCCGGUUUUUCUUUCUCCCUGAUGGACAGACCCAAACAUAGCCGCGCAGCAUCGUGAAGGGCUGGGGCCUUCACUCCUCUGUGGCUCUGGAAGAGCCCGGUUUCCUCAGGAGGCAUGUCGGGCCCCAGGCCUGUGGUGCUGAGCGGGCCUUCGGGAGCUGGGAAGAGCACCCUGCUGAAGAGGCUGCUCCAGGAGCACAGCGGCAUCUUUGGCUUCAGCGUGUCCCAUACCACGAGGAACCCGAGGCCCGGCGAGGAGAACGGCAAAGGGAGGUGAUGCAGCGUGACAUAG
RNAcentral lists this small RNA (345 nucleotides) under Pan troglodytes (chimpanzee). Its description in RNAcentral is "processed transcript". Lineage: Eukaryota; Metazoa; Chordata; Mammalia; Primates; Hominidae. The record is from RNAcentral.